AGCAGCCGCGGUAAUUCCAGCUCCAAUAGCGUAUAUUAAAGUUGUUGCAGUUAAAAAGCUCGUAGUUGAAUUUCGAGACCGGCUUACUGGUCGUGCUUUUGUACGUACUGGUAUAAUCGGUUUCUCCUUUCUGACGAACUAUAAUGCCAUUAAUUUGGUGUUAUAGGGAAUCAGGACUAUUACUUUGAAAAAAUUAGAGUGUUUAAAGCAGGCUCACGCUUGAAUACAUUAGCAUGGAAUAACGGAAUAGGACGUUUGAUUCUAUUUUGUUGGUUUCUGAAUCACCGUAAUGAUUAAUAGGGAUAGUUGGGGGCAUUAGUAUUCAAUUGUCAGAGGUGAAAUUCUUGGAUGUAU
RNAcentral lists this ribosomal RNA (354 nucleotides) under uncultured Glomus. RNAcentral describes it as "SSU rRNA". It matches the Rfam family "Eukaryotic small subunit ribosomal RNA", at positions 569 to 929 of the family's 1831-position model. Lineage: Eukaryota; Fungi; Glomeromycota; Glomeromycetes; Glomerales; Glomeraceae. The record is from RNAcentral.